AUUUUCCAAUUUCAAGUCUGGAUUCUCUACAUCCUUUAAUCACAAUGUCAUAUAUGUUAAUAGAAUAGCAGUGUGUCAUAUGAAUCUCAAUUUUUUGAACAAGAAAAUGAAUUUGGGGAUUUGAAUGAACAAAGUGAAGAUAUUGCUGAAAAUUAUGACAAGCACCAAGAGUUAACCACCAAAACACAGGACUCUGAAGAUAUCUUUACCAAGCAAUCUAUCUCUAUUAUUACAGAGGAACCCAAACAACCAUGUCAACAUAGUCAAGUAGUUCUCACAUAUACAGUUAUACUUUAUACUGUUUACCACUAGUCAUGUUUUUAAUGUGUUAUAAAUUGACAAUAUGCUUGUUGAUGGCUUAUGCAUGAAACACUGUGUAGCAAAACUUUAUUAACAUCUGGUAGAAAUGUGCUCAACAAACAUAAAAAUAUAUUACAAUAGAUAUUUUUGAAACAGUGAACAUUAA
Xenia sp. Carnegie-2017 is the source of this 466-nucleotide long non-coding RNA. RefSeq lists it as uncharacterized. Lineage: Eukaryota; Metazoa; Cnidaria; Anthozoa; Malacalcyonacea; Xeniidae. The record is from RefSeq and is a predicted model, not a curated record. The transcript has 3 exons.